AGCGGCGGACGGGUGAGUAAUGUCUGGGAAACUGCCUGAUGGAGGGGGAUAACUACUGGAAACGGUAGCUAAUACCGCAUAACGUCGCAAGACCAAAGAGGGGGACCUUCGGGCCUCUUGCCACCGGAUGUGCCCAGAUGGGAUUAGCUAGUAGGUGGGGUAACGGCUCACCUAGGCGACGAUCCCUAGCUGGUCUGAGAGGAUGACCAGCCACACUGGAACUGAGACACGGUCCAGACUCCUACGGGAGGCAGCAUG
RNAcentral lists this ribosomal RNA (258 nucleotides) under uncultured bacterium. Its description in RNAcentral is "partial 16S ribosomal RNA". It matches the Rfam family "Bacterial small subunit ribosomal RNA", at positions 94 to 353 of the family's 1533-position model. The record is from RNAcentral.